AGAGUUUGAUCAUGGCUCAGAUUGAACGCUGGCGGCAGGCCUAACACAUGCAAGUCGAACGGUAACAGGAAACAGCUUGCUGUUUCGCUGACGAGUGGCGGACGGGUGAGUAAUGUCUGGGAAACUGCCUGAUGGGGGGGGAUAACUACUGGAAACGGUAGCUAAUACCGCAUAACGUCGCAAGACCAAAGAGGGGGACCUUCGGGCCUCUUGCCAUCGGAUGUGCCCAGAUGGGAUUAGCUUGUUGGUGGGGUAACGGCUCACCAAGGCGACGAUCCCUAGCUGGUCUGAGAGGAUGACCAGCCACACUGGAACUGAGACACGGUCCAGACUCCUACGGGAGGCAGCAGUGGGGAAUAUUGCACAAUGGGCGCAAGCCUGAUGCAGCCAUGCCGCGUGUAUGAAGAAGGCCUUCGGGUUGUAAAGUACUUUCAGCGGGGAGGAAGGGAGUAAAGUUAAUACCUUUGCUCAUUGACGUUACCCGCAGAAGAAGCACCGGCUAACUCCGUGCCAGCAGCCGCGGUAAUACGGAGGGUGCAAGCGUUAAUCGGAAUUACUGGGCGUAAAGCGCACGCAGGCGGUUUGUUAAGUCAGAUGUGAAAUCCCCGGGCUCAACCUGGGAACUGCAUCUGAUACUGGCAAGCUUGAGUCUCGUAGAGGGGGGUAGAAUUCCAGGUGUAGCGGUGAAAUGCGUAGAGAUCUGGAGGAAUACCGGUGGCGAAGGCGGCCCCCUGGACGAAGACUGACGCUCAGGUGCGAAAGCGUGGGGAGCAAACAGGAUUAGAUACCCUGGUAGUCCACGCCGUAAACGAUGUCGACUUGGAGGUUGUGCCCUUGAGGCGUGGCUUCCGGAGCUAACGCGUUAAGUCGACCGCCUGGGGAGUACGGCCGCAAGGUUAAAACUCAAAUGAAUUGACGGGGGCCCGCACAAGCGGUGGAGCAUGUGGUUUAAUUCGAUGCAACGCGAAGAACCUUACCUGGUCUUGACAUCCACGGAAGUUUUCAGAGAUGGGAAUGUGCCUUCGGGAACCGUGAGACAGGUGCUGCAUGGCUGUCGUCAGCUCGUGUUGUGAAAUGUUGGGUUAAGUCCCGCAACGAGCGCAACCCUUAUCCUUUGUUGCCAGCGGUCCGGCCGGGAACUCAAAGGAGACUGCCAGUGAUAAACUGGAGGAAGGUGGGGAUGACGUCAAGUCAUCAUGGCCCUUACGACCAGGGCUACACACGUGCUACAAUGGCGCAUACAAAGAGAAGCGACCUCGCGAGAGCAAGCGGACCUCAUAAAGUGCGUCGUAGUCCGGAUUGGAGUCUGCAACUCGACUCCAUGAAGUCGGAAUCGCUAGUAAUCGUGGAUCAGAAUGCCACGGUGAAUACGUUCCCGGGCCUUGUACACACCGCCCGUCACACCAUGGGAGUGGGUUGCAAAAGAAGUAGGUAGCUUAACCUUCGGGAGGGCGCUUACCACUUUGUGAUUCAUGACUGGGGUGAAGUCGUAACAAGGUAACCGUAGGGGAACCUGCGGUUGGAUCACCU
This 1530-nucleotide ribosomal RNA is filed under the name Escherichia coli O104:H4 str. 11-4632 C5. Its description in RNAcentral is "bacterial SSU rRNA". It matches the Rfam family "Bacterial small subunit ribosomal RNA". Lineage: Bacteria; Pseudomonadati; Pseudomonadota; Gammaproteobacteria; Enterobacterales; Enterobacteriaceae. The record is from RNAcentral.